This is a long non-coding RNA of Marmota monax (woodchuck), 1882 nucleotides long. RefSeq lists it as uncharacterized. Lineage: Eukaryota; Metazoa; Chordata; Mammalia; Rodentia; Sciuridae. The record is from RefSeq and is a predicted model, not a curated record. The transcript has 2 exons.
AGUCCCUUCCCGCCUCAGACCUGCACCCACGCAGCCCUGCCAGUGGGUGUGUGGUAAGAAGGAAGGAGAGAACAGGCAGAAAAGAGGCUGAGGGAGGCUGGGCAGUCAGCGAGGAGAUCAGGAAGACGGUGGCCACAGACCAGUGUGCCUGUCUGGGCAGGACUGGAGGCAUGCCCGUCGGGCCAGCUAGGCGGUGGGAGGCUGACCAGGGUCACAUGACCAGGUGGCGUGCUGGAACCGGCGCUCGUGCUGAUUGUGCGAGUGGCCCCAGUGUGGCUGCUGUGUGCACUGAUCCUUCCCCUCUGAGGUGCACAUGACCCUGACGGGGUCACUGUGAAGGUCAGGUCUAAUAGCCAAAAUGUGCAGAGGAAACGAGCCUCUGCUCUGUCCUCCACACUCAUUGUCCCCAUUUUGUGGCUGAAGCGGUAAACAGCCUCACUUCUCUUCAGAAUACACGGGGCUCCUGGUGCUUUACAAGACAGCCACCGUGCUCUUUGUCAGUUUUAUAAUAUGUACAUGUCCCUCCCCAACAUCUCCUUUCUUAAAAAAAAUAAAAUAAAAGAAAGAAAGAAAAUCAGGGGCCCUUCCCUCCGGUUGUGGAGCAUCAUUUCUACCCCAUAAUGAGACAGACAGUGGGGUCCUCCCUAGGAGCAAUGUACUGAAGGGGUGAGGUGGCCAGCGCUGGGACACCCCUCUGCACAGCUGCACUCUGGUGUCCCAUCGAGGACAGAAGGAACAUUGAGGACAGCUGGAGGGCACGGUUGACAAUGAGGGGAGAAUUCUUCCCACCAGGUUGGGAUCAAUGUGCCACAGUUUAAAGAGAUUUUUGUUUUCUCCCCAAAUAGUCAGCAGUCAGAUUGAAUUGAAUUUCAAAUUUCUCCCAUGGAGACAGCUCCAGAGCGGUCUCCACCGAUCCUCCAGGCCUGAGGGCAGAGCCCUGCUCUCCUCCUGCAGCCUGCCCAGCUGGUUAGCCUAGAGGUGUCUGCCGCUGGGUGACUUCUCUGUCUGGGGACGACGUCACACAGGAGGCGCUGGUCCCUGGCUACCCUGGAAAACCUGGACCUUUUCUGAGCCACUAAGAGGGAGAGAUCAAAAGUGGCUCUGGCCGCCGACCGACCGGACCCUCUCCGGGAACGUCUCCGACAGAGUCUCUCCGAAGGGUCCCAUCUGGCUCGUCGUCGUCAUCGUCCUCUUCCAGCUCUUCCUCAGUUUCCUCCGUCGCCUUUCGGGAACAAUUCGUCGGGGACAGCGGCUCCCCAGCUCCGGCAGCGGCCAAGGUCGUGUGUCUGUCCAUUUUAAAGUCUUUGAAGUGACCACUUAAUGACUCUGAUCAAAUCGACAACAGUCAUUGUAAGUUGACACUGUGUCUGUGAGUCAAGCUGGGCUGCCAUCCGAGUGCCAUGUCCGCCGUGUAGCUCGUCCCUAAGUGUAAGGUCGCUCAGGCCUAGCACGGGCAAGGUGACCCAAAGUGCUUUCUUUCACACAAUGUGCAUUGUAUUUGGACCUUCAGCACAUCAAAUAGUCAAUAAAACUUUUGGCAUUUCUGCCACUUUCAUUCGGUACCAUUAAGAUGGACAGAAACUUACCAGUUGGGAAGUCCACCAUUAAAACCUGUUGAGUACCUGUUUGCUCUGCGUGUUAGAUAUUAUGAUAUUAGAUGCACUUGUACAUGAUGCAAUUGAUCUAUUUGUGGUCAUUAGCACUGUUUCCUAAUCUUAUUAGAGAUCUAAAGCUAUUCUUUGAUUUUUUUUUUCAAUUUUGUUAGUCUUCAUAGUCCUGUUAAAGGCAGAAUCUCACAGUUAUAGUUCUCCUACUGAGCUAUGGAUUCUAAAUUUUGCUUCGAAAGUAAAAGCUAAAUCAAUACAUAAAGGACUUCUGUGUA